AACUAACGCUGGCGGCGUGCCUAACACAUGCAAGUCGUACGAGAAAGUUGGCUUCGGCCGAUGAGUAAAGUGGCGCACGGGUGAGUAAUGCGUGGAUAAUCUGCCCUUUAGUUGGGAAUAACGUACCGAAAGGUGCGCUAAUACCUGAUAAUACUGCAUAACUACUGUUGUGUAGUCAAAGAAGGCCUCUGUUUACAAGCUUUUGCUGAAGGAUGAGUCCGCGUACCAUUAGCUGGUUGGUGGGGUAAUGGCCUACCAAGGCUACGAUGGUUAGCUGGUCUGAGAGGAUGAUCAGCCACACUGGAACUGAGACACGGUCCAGACUCCUACGGGAGGCAGCAGUGAGGAAUAUUGCGCAAUGGGGGCAACCCUGACGCAGCAACGCCGCGUGAGUGAGGAAGGUUUUCGGACCGUAAAGCUCCGUCGAGCGGGAAGAAAUGUAUCAUGGCUAAUAUCCAUGAUACUUGACGGUACCGCUAAAGGAGCACCGG
RNAcentral lists this ribosomal RNA (491 nucleotides) under uncultured bacterium. RNAcentral's name for it is "bacterial SSU rRNA". It matches the Rfam family "Bacterial small subunit ribosomal RNA", at positions 29 to 496 of the family's 1533-position model. The record is from RNAcentral.